UUUUUUUCCAAACUGAUGAGGAUGAUGCAUUUCUAGGAUUACUUGUGGGCUAGAACAUUGUUUUAUAUACCAGUCAUUUAAGUUUUCCAUUUUUAAUUGCUUUUCCAUUUUCCUAUUGAGUGUCUUGUAUUUUAUUAUUAUUUGUAGGCAUUCUUUAUACAGUCUAGAUCCCUCUUUUGUUUUGCAUUGAAAACAACUUCUGUUUGUUAACUCAGAAUAUUAUGUCCUCUAGUAACAGAAAAGAAACCAUAUACUUAAAGUAUAAAAGUAAGUCUAAAAUAACAGUGAAAAAAAUAAUAAAAUAAAAUAAAAUAAAAUAAAAUAAAAUAAAAUAAAAUAAAAUAACAGUGAUGUGAACUACCUCUGGAGACAUGAAAAACUUCUAUCAUCGUGUUUCAGUUAGCUAUUAAAUAUUUCAGUCCAAUGAUUAUUUUCCAGUUAUUAAAAGCUCAUUUAAAUUUAUAUAUUUGGGACUUGCCUAGUCUAAUAACAAGCACCUGGAUUGAGGGUUUGUGGUGAGGGAAAUUAUCUUGCUGUGAUCAUCCAAUAUCAGUGUACUGUGGACAAGUCACUUAAUCUUUUUACUCCUCAGCUUGCUCAUUUAAUUAAAUGAGCUGUUUGACCUGUCAUUUUGCAAACAAAUAUCAGGAGGACAAAGUGGAAGUAAAUCAUGGAGGUAUGCUUUAUAAACUGUAAAACACUAUAUAUAACAUAUAUAUCAAUAUAUGUUGUUAUGACUGCUAUUAACCAUCAUAAUUAUUAAAAGAAGCAUUCCUGGGAAGGGCUGGCAUUGAAAAUAGUAUCACACACUUACCUUUCUAACUAAACCCCCCCCCACUUUUCCUGCAAUUUGAAGGCAACCAGAGCACCUUUGUAUUUGUAAUCAUCUAAGUUUUAUAAAUGACUUUACACUUCAAGCUACAGAUAGGACUAUGUGCUUCUCAGAGUAUCAUUGCACAUCUCCAUGCGUCUUCCUUUUUGACUAAAGGAUGAAUUACCUAUUUUCACAUGCAAAAAAUUUUUUAAAUCUCCAAACUUAAAGAAAAAUCCCUGCCAAGAUUCAUAAUUUGCAUAUCCUCUAUGAUUUAUUUAAUUAUUUAUACCAAGGACCGUAUCAAAGAUCUAGAGUAUGAGACAUAACGAUUAAGACCUCAGACUACAGAAUGCACAAGUAUGAAUCCUGUCUGGCUGUCAUUUGCUAACUGAUCUUGGGGAAGUUACUUUGCCUCUCUAUUUCCCAGUUUCCUCAUACGUAUAUUGCGGAUAACAACAAUGAUAUCUCAGAGGGUUGGAGUGAUGAAUAUAUUCGUUAUCACGGGUAAGUACUCAGUGGAAGUUUGCUGUUACUAUCAUCAUUUAAAUUUGAUGAAAUUAAAGCUACCUCUCUUGAGAUUCCAUAUAAAUAAAAUUGAUAUUCUGACCUAGGGGUUACACUUAUUUUAAAAGUUAGGGAGGGGUGCUUGGGUGGCUCAGUUAAGUGUCUGCCUUUGGCUCAGGUCAUGAUUUCCGGGUACUAGGAUGGAGUCCUGCUUUGGUCUUCCUGCUUAGCGGGGAGUCUGCUUCUCUCUCUUGCCCUCCCCCUGCUCAUGCUCUCAGUCUCUCUCUUUUUCUCCUUCUUUCAAAUAAAUAAAACAUUUUGUAAAAAACUUAGGGAGAGAUGAGUAUAGUAAUGACACAGAAAGGAGCAUUUUCUAAACA
Molecule: long non-coding RNA, 1698 nt
Filed under: Canis lupus familiaris (dog)
Lineage: Eukaryota; Metazoa; Chordata; Mammalia; Carnivora; Canidae
Description: lncRNA (ENSCAFG00845014751.1)
Source: RNAcentral